AGAGUUUGAUCCUGGCUCAGAACGAACGCUGGCGGCGUGCUUAACACAUGCAAGUCGAGCGCGAAAGUCACCUUCGGGUGGCGAGUAGAGCGGCAGACGGGUGAGUAACACGUGGAUAAUCUGCCUUUAGGUGGGGAAUAACCAUUCGAAAGGAUGGCUAAUACCGCAUAAGACCACAUCACUUCGGUGAAGGGGUACUUCGGUGAAGGGGUUAAAGACUUCGGUCGCCUAAUGAGGAGUCCGCGCCUGAUUAGCUAGUUGGUGAGGUAACGGCUUACCAAGGCAACGAUCGGUAGCUGGUUUGAGAGGAUGAUCAGCCACACUGGUACUUAGACACGGACCAGACUCCUACGGGAGGCAGCAGUGGGGAAUAUUGCGCAAUGGGCGAAAGCCUGACGCAGCAACGUCGCGUGAGUGAUGAAGGUUUUCGGAUCGUAAAGCUCUGUCGGUGGGGAAGAAACUACUAUCGGAUAAUACCCGGGGUAAUUGACGGUACCACCAAAGGAAGCACCGGCUAACUCCGUGCCAGCAGCCGCGGUAAUACGGAGGGUGCAAGCGUUGUUCGGAAUUAUUGGGCGUAAAGAGCGUGUAGGCGGUCUAUUAAGUCUGGUGUGAAAGCCCGGGGCUCAACCCCGGAAGUGCAUCGGAAACUGGGCAACUUGAGUAUGGGAGAGGGUGGUGGAAUUCCGAGUGUAGAGGUGAAAUUCGUAGAUAUUCGGAGGAACACCAGUGGCGAAGGCGACCACCUGGCACAGUACUGACGCUGAGAUGCGAAAGCGUGGGGAGCAAACAGGAUUAGAUACCCUGGUAGUCAAAGCCGUAAACGAUGGGCACUAGGUGUUGCGGGUAUUUUACUAUUCGGUGACGCAGCUAACGCAUUAAGCACUCCGCCUGGGGAGUACGGUCGCAAGAUUAAAACUCAAAGGAAUUGACGGGGGCCCGCACAAGCGGUGGAUCAUGUGGCUUAAUUCGAUGCAACGCGAAAAACCUUACCUGGUCUUGACAGGUAGUAGAUCGCCCUAGAAACAGGGCUUCCCUUCGGGGAACCCAGUGACAGGUGCUGCAUGGCUGUCGUCAGCUCGUGUCGUGAGAUGUUCGGUUAAGUCCGGCAACGAGCGCAACCCCUAUCCUUAGUUGCCAGCGAGUAAUGUCGGGAACUCUAGGGAGACUGCCCCGGAAAUCGGGGAGGAAGGUGGGGAUGACGUCAAGUCCUCAUGGCCUUUAUGUCCAGGGCUACACACGUGCUACAAUGGGCGGUACAAAGGGUCGCGACAGCGCGAGCUUGAGCCAAUCCCAAAAAACCGUCCUCAGUUCGGAUUGGAGUCUGCAACUCGACUCCAUGAAGGUGGAAUCGCUAGUAAUCCCGGAUCAGCAUGCCGGGGUGAAUACGUUCCCGGGCCUUGUACACACCGCCCGUCACAUCACGAAAGUCGGCUGUACCGGAAGCCGGUGGGCUAACCUUCGGGAGGCAACUGUCCAUGGUAUGGUCGGCGAUUGGGGUGAAGUCGUAACAAGGUAACC
Molecule: ribosomal RNA, 1521 nt
Filed under: uncultured prokaryote
Description: partial 16S ribosomal RNA
Rfam family: Bacterial small subunit ribosomal RNA
Source: RNAcentral